RNAcentral lists this ribosomal RNA (253 nucleotides) under uncultured bacterium. Its description in RNAcentral is "partial 16S ribosomal RNA". It matches the Rfam family "Bacterial small subunit ribosomal RNA", at positions 524 to 776 of the family's 1533-position model. The record is from RNAcentral.
UACGUAGGUGGCAAGCGUUAUCCGGAAUUACUGGGCGUAGAGCGCACGCAGGCGGUCUUUUAAGUUUGACGUGAAAGCUCCCGGCUUAACUGGGAGAGGUCGUUGAAGACUGGAAGACUUGAGGCAAUGAGAGGGGUGUAGAAUUCCCGGUGUAGUGGUGGAAUGCGUAGAUAUCGGGGGGAAUACCAGUGGCGAAAGCGGCACCCUAGCGUUAGCCUGACGCUCAUGUGCGAAAGCGUGGGGAGCGAACGGG